CUACACUAUUUUCACAUGAUGAGGAUAACAGCAUUCACUAACAACCAAUUUCAUUAUCGAUUCGAUUAGUUGUUGCAGCUCUAAUAAUAAAUAAUAAACUCAGUGUUUCAAAGAGAAUAAAAACCCAUAAAGUUUGGAAACUCACUGUUCCAGCAGUCGUACAGUCGCUCUAUUAAACAUUUUUCUACUAUUGAACAUCAGGUAGCUGGUAAGUGUCUCCAUCAACACUUUAAUCUCAUAAGGAGCACGAGACUGAGAGGAACCACCACAUCCAGAGUCCACCCACAUCCAGCUCAAGUUCCAGCUGUGGAGGAGAAACCAGCUGCAGCUCAAGUUCCAGCUGUGGAGGAGAAACCAGCUGCAGCUCAAGAUCCAGCUGUGGAGGAGAAACCAGCUGCAGCUCAAGUUCCAGCUGUGGAGGAGAAACCAGCUGCAGCUCAAGUUCCAGCUGUGGAGGUGAAACCAGCACAAGUUCAAAAUUCAGUUAAAGCUCCUUCAGCAUCUGUCCAGCCGCAUGCAGAAGGUACAUACUUGGACUGUGCUACAGAAGAACACACACACACACACACACACACACACACACACACACACAUCCACCAUGCAAAGUGAAAAAGCCUACAGAUGUGGAAACUAUCUGAGAAGGUUCCAGGCAGAACUGGACGGGGACAAAAAAUCAGCCCUGGCGUUUUGGUCCAGAUCGGCCCACUACAUACGAUCACAAACACUACUCAUCUUUGCACACCCUUAAAUAUGUAUAUAAACUCCUAUUCCAUAAAAGCACUAAAGCCCUAUAAUAACAGGUAGAAAAGAGUGAGAAUUUACACAUUAAAAAUGUAUUUUAAAAAAUGUGUAAAUUAUGAAUACAAUAAAACUCUAAUCCACACUGAUUCAAUU
Molecule: RNA transcript, 894 nt
Organism: Silurus meridionalis
Lineage: Eukaryota; Metazoa; Chordata; Actinopteri; Siluriformes; Siluridae
Gene name: nischarin-like
Exons: 4
Source: RefSeq, a predicted model, not a curated record